AUGCCUCGAUCUGCUUCUAGUCACCUCGUGAACGCCGUCGCCGCCGGCCGUGUAUUGUUCUCAUCUCGCGGCCACCCGGCCGGCAGAUGUUUCCUCCUGAUCUCCGAUAAUGGUUCCGCACCGAGCUCAUGUCUCCGGGCUGGCGCCCCGAUCCAUCCAUGGAUAUAUGUUGGUCUUCUCCGGAUGGAUGGCCAUGUACGCGCUAGCCUUGCUGCCCAACGGCUGGUGAACGCCGCUGCCGCCGGCCGGCCGGCCGUGCCUUGCUUGUUGCCAUCUCGCGGCCGGCAGUGUCUGAUGUUUCCUUCUGGUGAUCUCAGACGCUGCACGGAACAUCCACAUGACAAGACGGCUGCACUACAUGGCGGUGCUUUCAGGCCAGCUCGCAUCGCACCAAGCAGCAACCCCGUGGGAUCUAUGUGCACACGCAUGUUCUCUACGCCAGCUGGUGGCUCUGCCCGGCCACCGCAGGACAAGUUUUGGUUUGAGGUGGUGGUGCAUAGGACACCGUGCCCAGAAAAUCCCCGUCCUUGCCUUUACCGUAAAAGGUUCUACAAUGUUGACAAAGAUAAGGCCGAAUUAAUCUUCAGACACUUUUUGAGCAGGGUAAAUCAAGAUUCAAAGGUCGCCGCUAGUGACUCGCUAAAGUCGCGUUUCACCAAGCUUAAGUUUAUCGUGACAGAUAAGCUUUAUCUUGUUUUGGUUGGAGCCGCUUUAAAAUCUGGAAAGAUGCAGCUUCUUAUCGUCUGUGCUUUGUUCUACGUACUCUUUCUGAGGGCACCAUCUUUUAUGCGAAGAAUGGCGAGGGUUGCUGCACCACCUGCCAAAGGGAAUGAGUCAGAGUGA
Molecule: ribosomal RNA, 843 nt
Filed under: Triticum aestivum (bread wheat)
Lineage: Eukaryota; Viridiplantae; Streptophyta; Magnoliopsida; Poales; Poaceae
Description: partial small subunit ribosomal RNA
Source: RNAcentral